Long non-coding RNA from Cyprinus carpio carpio, 1021 nucleotides. NCBI's taxonomy places the organism in Eukaryota, Metazoa, Chordata, Actinopteri, Cypriniformes, Cyprinidae. The record is from Ensembl.
AGACGUAAAUACAGGCCAAGAUAUACCAAAUAUGACCAAGAUUGGUGAUAAAAAUGAGAAAACAUUCAGCCCUGAUAAAGACUCUGCAUUUCUGAACUUCAGUCAGUAGAUGUCACUGUUGUGUUUACUAAUCCGAUGGACUCCUCGAAGAAAUGGCUUCUCUCUGAAAAAAAUGUUGAACUGAAAUAGUUUAUCAGCGUUUUAUUGUACAGCAUCUUCACAAACAACAGAAUGCAACGCAACUGACAUAUUGAGGCAUUUCUGCAGGGCCGUCUCGUUCUUUGAUGGAGGCUGCGGAUAUGGAGCUGGAGCCCGUGGUUUCGGUCACCCCUACCGACAGCCCCGACUGCGACCAUCAGAGACCGACCGUUGUCAGGAACCGUGGGGUGUCAGGGCUCACCCGCCUGGCCUGUUAUCCCCCGCACCCGUCCCCUCCUGGACAUCUCUCUGCCCUCGCCCAACACCCUCUCGCCCGCUUUUGAUCAGCCCUGACUCCGGCUGCUCCAGCGAAGCGGCAUGGGUGAUGUGUUGCUGUGGAGGGGGUGGGAUGGACUACAUUUGGUCAUUUGGACUUCAAGGCCGGACUUACCUCUGAUUCUACGUUUUAAUUAGAGGCUGGCAUAAUAAUUGUUUGCUCAAGACUGUAAAAGAGCCCGUUGAGAGGUGGGCCAGAGCUGGCCGUGUGGGUCCUGCUUAAAAUGCCCUGCGUAUAGAGGUGGUAGCAGUCAGGGAGGUCUCUAACUGCUUUAUAUUUAUUAAAAUUCAGAAUAAUCUAAGCAAUAAGAGAUAAUAUACAGCCAGAUGGUCAUUAUUGCGAGAUAAACCCCACCAGGGUGAUCAGGAUCCAAACCUGAAGGAGAUUUCGCCAUAUUGACUGACUGGUGGACUGUACAUUUUCUGGAUUAUUAUGCUACUGUUUAGCAAAAAAAUAAAUAAAUGGACAUGAAAUAUUGAUUUCAGUUGAAAUUCUUUUGUUACGUGAGAAGAGAGAAACGACUGUUUUCAAGCAGGUUUCUCAAAC